UGAAAAGUUAUGAAAAAUAGGGCGUCAUAUUCCCCUGCCCGUCUUUUGAAACAGAAACCACCUCACCAUAACGUACGCCACCUCUAAUUUCAUUUCGUGAAAAUUCCUCUCAUACAACGCCAUCAGAACCUCACCACCACCGGGUCACCACCUAGGGCCGACUAUCUUGCACGACUAUCAACCGCCCGAGUUCCUUUGUGUUACGACAGAGACCUAUUAGGGAUUUAUACUCAUAAAGCGACCUACCGUUUUCUAAUGAGGAAAAUCGGGAUUCAGGGAAGGAAAUCCCCGUCGAGGAACUCAGAAAUUUCUGUUACCGCACUUGAGGGGUAUUGGAUCAUAUUCCUGGGAAAUUUUCAGAAUGGAAAGGAUGUGACUACUCUUUAGGAGGUUUGUUGUGUAGGAUCGUGAAGAUGAAAAGAUUGGAUUUUGGUAAAUAAAUUGUUCUGAUAUAUGGGGAGAACAUCACAUUUCUGGCGCCCCCUUCCCAGUCCUCUCCUCCUCCAUCUGAUGAAUCAAGUCCCACUGCUGAAAUCUCUCCUUUGCCUCCAACAAUGUCCGCAGAGUAUGUCCCCAGGUAACAAAAGCUUCUAUCUUAUAAUUUCUUUUUCUAAUAUCCAGUUUCCUAUUGUUUUAUGCAAUAAACAUUUGAAUCUUGUGGACAUCAUCAUUGGUUAUUGCAUAAUAUGUAGUUCGUAUGGUGGCAACAAAGAAAGUGCAUAACCUCAUUUAACACAUAACUAUGUAUACUCUAUUGUAUUUACCCCUUAAAAUACCCUCCACAUGCUCAUGAUGAGAAAUAGCCCUAGAAAACUUAUCCGGUCUAAUCUUGUCCCAGGACAAGGAAGUAUUAUAUAUAAUCUUACUUUGCUUGUUAGUUCUGGUCAAGUCUUGUUGAAUUCUAAUUUAUAUAUUUUUUCAUUAAAUUGUUUAGAAGGCCUUCUAUAUUUGACUGUCAGGGUAUUGUUACUUCUUCAUAAGUGUAAGAACACAAGCACUCUCUUUCUUUUGCUCAACAAUUGUGUUGUUUCUAGAUGGCCUUAAUUGUUAGAAUGAUAGAAUCAAAUACUCUUUGUUUUGGUUUUUGGCUUCAAGUGCAUACAAUUAUCCAACACUUCUUCUAUUGCUAAAGUUGAUGACUAUAACCAUGAAAGGAAGAAAAUAAACCAAAAUACUUGGAAAUUUAUUAGAAAAUAAGGUGAUUAUUGAUAUAAUAUGUAAUUACUCUGUAUAUAUUCUGUAAAACUCUUUUUGUAAUUAUAUGAAUUUGUUCUAUAACUAGUAUUUGUAGUUUUGCAAAAUAAUUCUUUCAUUCUUUGCAUACUUCUGUUUCUAUCAUGUACUUUGCCUCAAGUGGGUCAUAGGUGCAACAAACGUGAAUUGAGUAUCAUCCUUUCCUUACAAGAAGUAGACGGACUAGAGGAUUAGAUGAGAUAAGAAAGAGGAAACUAUAUUUGAGGAAGGGACAACCAAAGUAUAUCUUAAUUUGGUAAUGGAAAUCAUUAAACCCAAAAAGCCGAAACAAUAAAACUUGAGGGAUUUUAAGAAUAUGUGAUUGUAAUGAUCAAUUCAAGGCGGCACAUAGUUUCCUCUCAUUAAACACUCUAGAAAGAUUGAUAAUUCUGCGAUGAAUACAAUAUUGAAGAUUUUGGUGAUGAAACUAAAGGAUUAUCUAAGUAGGGGGUGUUCAUCAAAGUAACCACUUACUGUCUGAUUGGUUACUCAAGGAUUAUGCAAUAUUGAAUAUUUUGGUGAUGAAACUCAAGGAUUAUGCAAUAUUGAAGAUUUUGGUGAUGAAACUCAAGGAUUAUGAAAUAUUGAAGAUUUUGGUGAUGAAACUUAACGAUUACUCAAGGUUUUUUUUUUUUUUUUUUU
This is a long non-coding RNA of Lactuca sativa (garden lettuce), 1875 nucleotides long. RefSeq lists it as uncharacterized. The record is from RefSeq and is a predicted model, not a curated record. Lineage: Eukaryota; Viridiplantae; Streptophyta; Magnoliopsida; Asterales; Asteraceae.